Molecule: ribosomal RNA, 417 nt
Filed under: uncultured bacterium
Lineage: Bacteria
Description: bacterial SSU rRNA
Rfam family: Bacterial small subunit ribosomal RNA
Source: RNAcentral
GGGCCCGCACAAGCGGUGGAGCAUGUGGUUUAAUUCGAUGCAACGCGAAGAACCUUACCAGGGUUUGACAUACUACAAAUUCUUUUGAGAAAAAGAAGUGCCUUCGGGAAUGUAGAGACAGGUGGUGCAUGGCUGUCGUCAGCUCGUGUCGUGAGAUGUUGGGUUAAGUCCCGCAACGAGCGCAACCCUUAUUCUUAGUUGAUUCUAUUGCUCUAGGAAGACUGCCGAUGACAAAUCGGAGGAAGGUGAGGAUGACGUCAAGUCAGUAUGCCCCUUAUACCCUGGGCUACACACGUGCUACAAUGGUUAAGACAAAGAGUCGCGAGCUUGCGAGAGUCAGCUAAUCUCAUAAACUUAGCCUAAGUUCAGAUUGUAGGCUGCAACUCGCCUGCAUGAAGUUGGAAUCGCUAGUAAUCG